AGGUAAAUACCUUCCACCUCCGCACUUCCACACGUUUAUCCGGUGUGCUGUGUACUCUGGUGUUUGUUUAAGUGAAAUCACCUCUGACAGACUGCGAGCCCUGGAGCGGAGGACCGCGCCUCUCUUACCCUUGAUCCCCACCGCCAACAGUGCCUAGCACGCUGCGGGGGCCACCAAGUGUACCUGAAUGAACGCUGGAAGAAUGAAUUGUUUUUACAUAAACUUAGCCUAUUUCUGGGCUAUUUGUUCUUUAUAUCUUUGUGGUCGAUGGGAAUGCCGACCCAGAAGAAACCCCGAACUGGAAGAUAUCAAGGAAGACUAUUUGACCACAUUUUGGAAGCGGAUAAUUUUUGGCAUUCUGUGAAAAGCAAGACAGUUUUAGUUGCAGGUUACUGGAAACUCACCCUGCCAAGGACUCGGGCAAGUCUACAGGUUAUUUCGACUUGGGGGCGGGGGGGGUUCCAGAGUAUUCCACAGGAGUUUUGGAAAAUUCACCAGGGUGAUCUGGAUAUGCAUGAAAGGGGUGCAAGGGGGAACAGGGCAAAAGACCCACAAGGCAGAUUUCUGUCUUAAGUGUUGUUGAAAAUGUAAGAGGUACAUAUUUUGAACAGUAAGAGUAAGCUUUAAGUCAGGAGCCAAACCGGGAGGCUGAGCAGAGGAAGAGGUACCUAUGGACAAGUGGGGAAGAACGAAGUUGCUGUCACAAGACCCCAGAGUCCCAGGCAUGUGAAGGAAUGAUCUGUGUAAGUUGGACCCAAGUCUCCGUUUUCUUACCUGUACAGAGGGGUUAAUAAUCACACUUACCCUGCUCAUCUGCAAGGCUGUUCAUAAACCAAGCAGCGUCAUCCAUAUGAAUGCACCUGGCAGUUUAUUAGGUCAUGAAAAUGUACACGUUUAGCAGCCUCAUUUCAAGAAAUGAAAUUGAAGAAACAUCAAUCACUGUUGGCAAAUGCAAGACUGGAAAUAAUGUUUGAACAUUUUUAAUUUUGAGAAGGGCCUUUCUGCUGAUACAGCUAUUACUGGAGCUGUUAAAGGGCACAAGUUCAAGGAUAAAAGCAUUGUGAAUUUUGAGACUGCACAGCAGAGGAUUAAACUAAGCACAGACAUCUUCUGAGGACGGGUUCCUCUUUCUACUGCCCGGGUCUCAUCCCCACGAAGCCAGCCCUGGUCUCACAGCUGAAAGUUGAAUCGUAUGAGGACGGGGAUUAGUGUCCUUGUUCCCCACUAGGAAGCAGCCCCCUCGCACACUCUAGUGAUCACCGUUUGCCAAAAUGAAGGAACCUCUCGUCUCUACUUUCGCCGCAGGACACAUCUUGCAACUUGGCCAUCCUGCUCCUUUGCCUUAAAUUUUACGAUUUCAUUCUCAAGCCUGUCGUCUAACCAGUGUGCACUGAAGUUUCAAGUUUCAGCUACGUCCUGACCUUCACGAAGGGAAGGCUUUCGUGUUACGCACACGCACAUGCACUUGCGCACUUCACCGAAUCCAGCAGUGUGUCUUCCUUGUGUUUCCAGCACACUCUGCCUUCCUACCAAAGGACUCACCACAUCGCGCCGUACGUAUUUCUCGAGGUGUCUGUUUCCCCUUCGUGUUGUGAGGCCCUUCGGCGCAGGGGGAGUCCAGCUCAGUUCGGCAGUGCCGGCUCCUAGCGCUGUCCUAGCACGUGCAGGUGGCCCAUAUGUGUUUGGGAAAUGAGUACAGACGCAUCUCAAAAGCUUCUUUAUGGCUGGGCUGCUUCUGUGAUCAAAUCAAACAUCACCCAGACCCGCAGUUAAAUCAGCAUCAUGUUAUUUAACGGUUUUAUGAUGUUUAAAUGAAAUUUUAAAUGCAAUAAUACACAUUCAUGCGCCUUUAGAGUCACUUUCCAAUUUGCUCUCCAUCCACACCCCACUCAUAAUCGCGAGUAUAUGGGAUAUUUGCAAAGCCUCAGGCCCAAAGAGAUAAAGUGCUGACCCACAAAGAUGCUGUGACCGACCAGCCAGCACUUACUGCAAGAUGGAACAGACCUGGAGCAGGAAUGGGAACAGCCAAAGGUGAAAUGGGGCUCCGCUCACUGUCCGCUCCGAAACGAGACGGCCUAGUGAUUUUUCCAUUACAGGUGCACACAGUGAGGCCGGCCCGUACCUGGCCGGGCGGUAAGUAUCCUUCGGCCGGCAGCCCAAACCUCAGGCCGACUCUGCCCCCGCCUGGCAGAUGGAACGGGCCCAUCACAAGGGCUUAUUAAAUUCAUUAGAGAUGAGGCUGCUGCUCGGGAGUGGUCAUUUCGGAGCGGGGCUUGCAGCUCGCUUUAACCCUUCGCAGUAGGAUGCUUGGUGACCCUCUGACAAAAUCCCUCCCCGGUUGCUUCUCUGGGCCUCUCCCCACGUUUUAUGAACCAUCUUACUUGAACCUCAGGACGGCUCAGGGAGGUAGGUAGGCGUUGCGAUCUCCGUUUUACAGACCAGGACUUUGGGCUUCCACUAGGUUCAAUAGUUUGCAUAGGAGGGGGCUUCGCCAGGGUUCAAGCUCUCACCUGUAGGAAAGUGUGUGCUGAUAUAUGUGUCAAACCACUCAGGAACGACUGAGAGCGAAUAUCUGUGUCUGAACAUAGACAUUUGUACGUGAAUAUACAUCAUCUGAAAAAAUA
This is a long non-coding RNA of Canis lupus familiaris (dog), 2624 nucleotides long. RefSeq lists it as uncharacterized. The record is from RefSeq and is a predicted model, not a curated record. The transcript is spliced from 4 exons. NCBI's taxonomy places the organism in Eukaryota, Metazoa, Chordata, Mammalia, Carnivora, Canidae.